UAAAUAAUUUUUAAUUAACUUUGAAAUGAAUUUAUGUAGUAAAUUAAUCGGUUCGUUUUUAAGCAUAUAUGAUUUUACGCCUAUAUGAUUUUUGCGAGUUGUCUAUCCGUUUCUAGUCUCUCACCUAACAACCAUUAAAAAAUUGAACAUGUUUUCAAUUAGACAUCUCCACGAGCACCGCCAGCAUCGGUUUGGUGAUAAUUUGGAGACAGACAACGAAGAAAGCAGUUGACUUGGUCAAGAAACUAAGGAAAGAAUGCACUAAAAAAGAUAGGGUGUGUUUUAAGACUAAUUAUAAUUUGAAUUUGAUAAGGUCGUUCAAGGAGACAAUGAGCGAAUGUGAUGACGAGGCAACGAAGAGAGGGAGAAACUGUUCAAUUUGAGCCAAAUUAACUUAGAUACCGAAUGAUGAGAGUUGAGAAUUCAAGUAAUUUUCUGAUCGAAAUGGACAUAGAGAAAACUCAAUUCAGCAUAUCAAAAUCUGGAGGCACUAAAUUAGAAGGCAGAGAGUUGACAUAAAGAAAUUUGAGGCUUAAUGGGGAUGAAGCAAACUGAUUGGAACAUGAGAAAAUGCAAAAAUCAAGGAAAGCAACCAUACGGCUAAAUCCAAAAUAGUUGGGGAAAAAAAAAACCCUCAUUUUCAUUGGUAAAUUUUUUUUUUUUUUGAUUAAGAAUCAUUGACUUUAGGUACUGAAGGCCCCUCCAAUAAUAUGGACAUUAAUAAUCACAUGGAUGAUCAGGUGAAGGAAGCUAUGUUUUUGAGACAAUGACUAUGACUACCUUUCAUUAACCGUUUCAUUUGUCUGAAUUAUUGUUUUCAUGUCUCAAAAACACACCAUGUGGUGGCUGCCUCAGCUGUGUUUUUACAUUUGCAUGUUGAGACGUCCACUCAAAUCUAGAUGGCCCUAUGGCUCAGGCGUUUUUGAAAUGACUUAUCUUCCAAUCAGAUGCAACGUUUGGGGGAGCAAAGGGCACAUGGUGCAUGGCCUUUAGCUUUGCUGGGAAACUUACCUUCACCAGUGACAUUCACUUGCAGAUUUUUACCCACAAAGUUUUAUGUGUGGCUCCCAUUUUAUGAAUGAUUCAUUCCCAUCAUCUAAUGCUCUUGCCUUGCUUUUCCUUCAAGACUUUGAACAUGUCUUAUUUACUAGCCACAGGGGAACACACCACAUGGCUCAAUUGCGCUCAUCAGGUGUUUGUUUUUAAUCCUCUUUGAACUGCACAGACUUGCCUACAUUCAUUGUAAUGAACAAAACGUUUUUAUUCUAA
This is a long non-coding RNA of Manihot esculenta (cassava), 1269 nucleotides long. RefSeq lists it as uncharacterized. NCBI's taxonomy places the organism in Eukaryota, Viridiplantae, Streptophyta, Magnoliopsida, Malpighiales, Euphorbiaceae. The record is from RefSeq and is a predicted model, not a curated record. The transcript is spliced from 2 exons.